Molecule: transfer RNA, 68 nt
Filed under: Apaloderma vittatum (bar-tailed trogon)
Lineage: Eukaryota; Metazoa; Chordata; Aves; Trogoniformes; Trogonidae
Rfam family: tRNA
About the family: Transfer RNA (tRNA) molecules are approximately 80 nucleotides in length.
Source: Rfam by way of RNAcentral
ACGGUUAGCUCAGUUGGUUGAGCAUGGUGCUGGUAACACCAAGGUUGCGGGUUCGAUUCCUGUUCCGU